UGUAAGGGCCUCCUGAGGGGCACUUUGUGU
Molecule: non-coding RNA, 30 nt
Filed under: Mus musculus (house mouse)
Lineage: Eukaryota; Metazoa; Chordata; Mammalia; Rodentia; Muridae
Source: RNAcentral